Molecule: ribosomal RNA, 404 nt
Filed under: uncultured bacterium
Lineage: Bacteria
Description: partial 16S ribosomal RNA
Rfam family: Bacterial small subunit ribosomal RNA
Source: RNAcentral
GAUGAACGCUGACAGAAUGCUUAACACAUGCAAGUCAACUGUGGCGGACGGGUGAGUAACGCGUAAAGAACUUGCCUCACGGAUAGGGACAACAUUUGGAAACGAAUGCUAAUACCUGAUACUGUGAGAGAGCUUUGCGUCCCAUUAGCUAGUUGGAGAGGUAACGGCUCACCAAGGCGAUGAUGGGUAGCCGGCCUGAGAGGGGGAUUGGCCACAAGGGGACUGAGACACUGCCCUUACUCCUACGUGAGGCAGCGGUGGGGAAUAUUGGACGAUUGACCAAAGUCUGAUCCAGCAAUUCUGUGUGCUCGAUGAAGUUUUCGGAAUGUAAAGUGCUUUCAGUUGGGAAGCGGUACCAACAGAAGAAGUGACGGCUAAAUACGUGCCAGCCGCCGCGGUAAUUC